CCCGCCUCCCUCGCCCCCCCUUCAACCCCUACACCCACCCACACUUCGCUCCGGAGCCUCUUCCACAGAGAGCUCCACGCUUUGAUUCGGGAGCUGAGUGCUCCCCAGGUUAAAAGUGCUGCAGACCUGAAUGUCCCAUAACUAUGCCCCGGGAAGCAGAAGCGGACUGGAGGGCAGUAGGAACGGCCUGGGCCACGGAAGUCCUAAGCAAACACAUUCCAACAAGGAGAAUCACAGGAUGGAUUUCCAGCUCCUUCAAAGACCUGCAGCUUUGGAAACCUAGGAGACCCUCCACCCCCAAACUCCUGAUGCUUCCACCAUUGAACAGGAAGCUCAGCGCUCAUGCAUAAACACUCUGCGGCAUAAUCAUUUCAUUGGGAGGAAAGCCUAGAAACCCUUUCAUUUUUAGUAUGUUAGGACUUUUGAAAAGACAAACAAACAAAAGAAGAACACUGCCAUUGGGAAGGCAACUUCAGGGAGGUUUCUGUUUUGGUUUUAGUAUCUUUCCCCGUCUUUAAUCCUACCACCCUGCCCCUUACCUGCCCUUAUAAUCCCUUUGGCAUGUGCUUGUGACAUCACACAGCCAUCAGCUCCAGCCCCUUUCCUUAUAACUGUCAUUAACUGUUGCAAGCAAAUGAAAAAUGACUGGGAGACUCACUGGCUCCCACCAGUGACCUUGGGUAUUAUUAGAAUGACCUCCCUUUGGCUUGACCGAAAAAAAAAAAAAAAGGAUCUCUCUGUAUACAUCAUCACAGAGCCUGGCUGGGUUAGAGGAGUAUAGUCUGGUUGCUUGCCCAUAAGGAGAAAAGAGAAAGCAUUGAAGGAUACAGAGCAAACACUGCACAAAAAUACAGCUUAUAUAAGAACACUCAGGAAGAGACCAAGCUUGAAUACUGAGCUAAAGCGCAGGGAUAAUUCUAACCUGUUAUCUCUAUAUUAUCCUAAUUCUUGGUGUUGGGGGGUGGGGUGGGAAGAGAGAAGGGGUAAAACACUCCCUAUUAACCUUCAACAUCUAGGAAAGGUGAAAACAAUUAGAACACAAUUCAUGGGAUGAGAGAUCUAGAGCUGAAAGGACCCUUUGAGGUCAUCUAGCUCAACCUCCCUCAUUUUACCGACGAGGAAACAGAGGCUGAGGAAUGUUAAGAGACCUGACUAAGGUCACACUUGCAGUAAUAAUUGCAAGUGAGAUUGUCUGUCUUUUGACUCCAGAGCGAGGGCUCUUUCUGCUACACUAUAUUUCUAUGGUAAUUUUUUUUUCUUUUUAGUUUUGAUUCUAAGUCAUCAUGCUAAGAUUUCGCUUUUAAAAAAUUAAAAUUAGGUAACUGAAAAAAUGUCUCCAAUCAACUAAGU
RNAcentral lists this long non-coding RNA (1350 nucleotides) under Phascolarctos cinereus (koala). RNAcentral's name for it is "lncRNA (ENSPCIG00000024168.2)". The record is from RNAcentral. Lineage: Eukaryota; Metazoa; Chordata; Mammalia; Diprotodontia; Phascolarctidae.